UGGGCAUGCCAGGCAAUCGCUGUAAUUCAUUAACGAAUUAUGGAGGAAAGUCCGAACUCUUUCCCUAUGGACGAAAUCUCGCCCAUAGGGAUGGGCACGGUGCCGGAUAACGUCCGGGACGAGUAAUCGUACGGAAAGUGUCACAGAAAACAUACCGUCCCGAUGCGAUACAUCGGGAUAAGGGUGAAAAGGUGCGGGGAACAAUAAAGUUCCCUUAAUGUAAGAGCGCACCGCGCCGUUAGUAAUAACGGCGGUCCCUCAUCAGGGACGACGGAAACGUCGCACGACAAACCCCACCGAGAGCAAGACCGCGUAGGUUUCGUUCUUCCGAAUCCGAUUUGGAAGAGAGAGAAGCCCACUCAAUUCCAUCUAUGGAGACGAAACGGGUAGGUCGCUGGAGCGUUGCAGUAAUGCAACGCCAAGAGAAAUGAUUGCCGCUCUGUGUUUUGCAGAGUACAGAAUUCGGCUUAUCGGCACGCCCUCAUG
RNAcentral lists this RNase P RNA (486 nucleotides) under Ignavibacteria bacterium. Its description in RNAcentral is "RNase P RNA component class A". It matches the Rfam family "Bacterial RNase P class A". Rfam says of the family: Ribonuclease P (RNase P) is a ubiquitous endoribonuclease, found in archaea, bacteria and eukarya as well as chloroplasts and mitochondria. Its best characterised activity is the generation of mature 5'-ends of tRNAs by cleaving the 5'-leader elements of precursor-tRNAs. The record is from RNAcentral. Lineage: Bacteria; Pseudomonadati; Ignavibacteriota; Ignavibacteria.